ACUCCUACGGGAGGCAGCAGUGGGGAAUAUUGGACAAUGGGGGAAAGCCUGAUCCAGCACAAUGGGCGAGAGCAAGAAGGUCUUCGCCGCGUAAGCGCUUUAAGUUGGAGGAAGGGCAGUAAGUUAAUACCGUGGGAAUGACGUACCAGCAGAAAAG
RNAcentral lists this ribosomal RNA (157 nucleotides) under uncultured Pseudomonas sp. Its description in RNAcentral is "partial 16S small subunit ribosomal RNA". The record is from RNAcentral. Lineage: Bacteria; Pseudomonadati; Pseudomonadota; Gammaproteobacteria; Pseudomonadales; Pseudomonadaceae.